This 374-nucleotide ribosomal RNA is filed under the name uncultured bacterium. RNAcentral describes it as "bacterial SSU rRNA". It matches the Rfam family "Bacterial small subunit ribosomal RNA", at positions 918 to 1297 of the family's 1533-position model. The record is from RNAcentral.
GGCCCGCACAAGCAGUGGAGCAUGUGGUUUAAUUCGAUGCAACGCGAAGAACCUUACCAGGCCUUGACAUCCUGCGAAUCUCUUGGAAACGAGAGAGUGCCUUCGGAACGCAGUGACAGGUGGUGCAUGGCUGUCGUCAGCUCGUGUCGUGAGAUGUUGGGUUAAGUCCCGCAACGAGCGCAACCCACGUCUUUAGUUGCCAGCAUUUAGUUGGGCACUCUAGAGAGACUGCCGGUGAUAAACCGGAGAAGGUGUGGAUGACGUCAAGUCAUCAUGCCCCUUACAUCUGGGCUACACACGUACUACAAUGCUACGGACAAAGGGCAGCAAGUUCGCGAGGACAAGCAAAUCCCAUAAACGUGGCUCAGUUCAGA